This 32-nucleotide non-coding RNA is filed under the name Homo sapiens (human). Lineage: Eukaryota; Metazoa; Chordata; Mammalia; Primates; Hominidae. The record is from RNAcentral.
UGACCACGGUCUCUGAGGUCAGCCUCUUGCUA